RNAcentral lists this ribosomal RNA (1387 nucleotides) under Klebsiella sp. CRRI-83_WR15. RNAcentral's name for it is "bacterial SSU rRNA". It matches the Rfam family "Bacterial small subunit ribosomal RNA". The record is from RNAcentral. Lineage: Bacteria; Pseudomonadati; Pseudomonadota; Gammaproteobacteria; Enterobacterales; Enterobacteriaceae.
UCGGGUGACGAGCGGCGGACGGGUGAGUAAUGUCUGGGAAACUGCCUGAUGGAGGGGGAUAACUACUGGAAACGGUAGCUAAUACCGCAUAAUGUCGCAAGACCAAAGUGGGGGACCUUCGGGCCUCAUGCCAUCAGAUGUGCCCAGAUGGGAUUAGCUAGUAGGUGGGGUAACGGCUCACCUAGGCGACGAUCCCUAGCUGGUCUGAGAGGAUGACCAGCCACACUGGAACUGAGACACGGUCCAGACUCCUACGGGAGGCAGCAGUGGGGAAUAUUGCACAAUGGGCGCAAGCCUGAUGCAGCCAUGCCGCGUGUGUGAAGAAGGCCUUCGGGUUGUAAAGCACUUUCAGCGGGGAGGAAGGCGUUAAGGUUAAUAACCUUGGCGAUUGACGUUACCCGCAGAAGAAGCACCGGCUAACUCCGUGCCAGCAGCCGCGGUAAUACGGAGGGUGCAAGCGUUAAUCGGAAUUACUGGGCGUAAAGCGCACGCAGGCGGUCUGUCAAGUCGGAUGUGAAAUCCCCGGGCUCAACCUGGGAACUGCAUUCGAAACUGGCAGGCUAGAGUCUUGUAGAGGGGGGUAGAAUUCCAGGUGUAGCGGUGAAAUGCGUAGAGAUCUGGAGGAAUACCGGUGGCGAAGGCGGCCCCCUGGACAAAGACUGACGCUCAGGUGCGAAAGCGUGGGGAGCAAACAGGAUUAGAUACCCUGGUAGUCCACGCCGUAAACGAUGUCGAUUUGGAGGUUGUGCCCUUGAGGCGUGGCUUCCGGAGCUAACGCGUUAAAUCGACCGCCUGGGGAGUACGGCCGCAAGGUUAAAACUCAAAUGAAUUGACGGGGGCCCGCACAAGCGGUGGAGCAUGUGGUUUAAUUCGAUGCAACGCGAAGAACCUUACCUGGUCUUGACAUCCACAGAACUUUCCAGAGAUGGAUUGGUGCCUUCGGGAACUGUGAGACAGGUGCUGCAUGGCUGUCGUCAGCUCGUGUUGUGAAAUGUUGGGUUAAGUCCCGCAACGAGCGCAACCCUUAUCCUUUGUUGCCAGCGGUUCGGCCGGGAACUCAAAGGAGACUGCCAGUGAUAAACUGGAGGAAGGUGGGGAUGACGUCAAGUCAUCAUGGCCCUUACGACCAGGGCUACACACGUGCUACAAUGGCAUAUACAAAGAGAAGCGACCUCGCGAGAGCAAGCGGACCUCAUAAAGUAUGUCGUAGUCCGGAUUGGAGUCUGCAACUCGACUCCAUGAAGUCGGAAUCGCUAGUAAUCGUAGAUCAGAAUGCUACGGUGAAUACGUUCCCGGGCCUUGUACACACCGCCCGUCACACCAUGGGAGUGGGUUGCAAAAGAAGUAGGUAGCUUAACCUUCGGGAGGGCGCUUACCACUUUGUGAU